UAGAAGAUAGUAUAGGUUGCUUGGGUCCAUUAGAGGAAGUAAAAGUCGUAACAAGGUUUCCGUAGGUGAACCUGCGGAAGGAUCAUUACCGAGUGAGGGCCCUUUGGGUCCAACCUCCCACCCGUGUUUAUUUUACCUUGUUGCUUCGGCGGGCCCGCCUUUACUGGCCGCCGGGGGGCUCACGCCCCCGGGCCCGCGCCCGCCGAAGACACCCUCGAACUCUGUCUGAAGAUUGAAGUCUGAGUGAAAAUAUAAAUUAUUUAAAACUUUCAACAACGGAUCUCUUGGUUCCGGCAUCGAUGAAGAACGCAGCGAAAUGCGAUACGUAAUGUGAAUUGCAAAUUCAGUGAAUCAUCGAGUCUUUGAACGCACAUUGCGCCCCCUGGUAUUCCGGGGGGCAUGCCUGUCCGAGCGUCAUUGCUGCCCUCAAGCCCGGCUUGUGUGUUGGGCCCCGUCCUCCGAUUCCGGGGGACGGGCCCGAAAGGCAGCGGCGGCACCGCGUCCGGUCCUCGAGCGUAUGGGGCUUUGUCACCCGCUCCGUAGGCCCGGCCGGCGCUUGCCGAUCAACCCAAAUUUUUAUCCAGGUUGACCUCGGAUCAGGUAGGGAUACCCGCUGAACUUAAGCAUAUCAUA
RNAcentral lists this ribosomal RNA (633 nucleotides) under Ascomycota sp. UNEX FECRGA 2012E245. RNAcentral describes it as "eukaryotic LSU rRNA". The stretch from base 265 to 417 matches the Rfam family "5.8S ribosomal RNA". Lineage: Eukaryota; Fungi; Ascomycota. The record is from RNAcentral.